This 574-nucleotide ribosomal RNA is filed under the name uncultured bacterium. RNAcentral's name for it is "bacterial SSU rRNA". It matches the Rfam family "Bacterial small subunit ribosomal RNA", at positions 338 to 914 of the family's 1533-position model. The record is from RNAcentral.
CCUACGGGAGGCAGCAGUGAGGAAUAUUGGACAAUGGGCGCAAGCCUGAUCCAGCCAUGCCGCGUGCAGGAAGAAGCAUCUAUGGUGUGUAAACUGCUUUUGUACAGGAAGAAACACUCCCUCGUGAGGGAGCUUGACGGUACUGUAAGAAUAAGGACCGGCUAACUCCGUGCCAGCAGCCGCGGUAAUACGGAGGGUCCGAGCGUUAUCCGGAAUCAUUGGGUUUAAAGGGUCCGUAGGCGGUUUAAUAAGUCAGUGGUGAAAUCUGGUCGCUCAACGAUCAAACGGCCAUUGAUACUGUUAGACUUGAAUUAUAAGGAAGUAACUAGAAUAUGUAGUGUAGCGGUGAAAUGCUUAGAUAUUACAUGGAAUACCAAUUGCGAAGGCAGGUUACUACUUAUGGAUUGACGCUGAUGGACGAAAGCGUGGGGAGCGAACAGGAUUAGAUACCCUGGUAGUCCACGCCGUAAACGAUGGAUACUAGCUGUUCGGAGCAAUCUGAGUGGCUAAGCGAAAAGUGAUAAGUAUCCACCUGGGGAGUACGUUCGCAAGAAUGAAACUCAAAUGAAUUGAG